GGAUGUUAGGAGGAUCUGGCUGCAGACAUCCGUGACCAUUCAUUGCCAGGGUUGAUUUUGCUGAUUUGGCUGACUCAGCAAGUGUCCUCUUCCCUCCUCACUGUUCCCUGUGUGUUCCUCCUGAAGGUGAGCACUCUGUUGAAGAGAACAACAAGAUGACCUUCCCCAAACAGAGAUGAAUCGGUCUUUAGUCAAAGGUCUAUGGGUAAUUCUGCUCUUUUGCUAGAACCUUCAAGCAAGCUCUCUCAAAGACAUUUAUUACAGGAGAAAUAUCCACCACACACCUAGUAAACACAACAUAAAAAGAGCCACAUAAAGGGCCUUGGGGAACAAGAAUUUCUUA
RNAcentral lists this small nuclear RNA (343 nucleotides) under Erinaceus europaeus (western European hedgehog). RNAcentral describes it as "7SK RNA". It matches the Rfam family "7SK RNA". From Rfam's summary of the family: 7SK was discovered as an abundant small nuclear RNA in the mid-70s but a possible function has only recently been suggested. Two independent studies have found that 7SK RNA binds the CDK9/cyclin T complex (known as elongation factor P-TEFb). Lineage: Eukaryota; Metazoa; Chordata; Mammalia; Eulipotyphla; Erinaceidae. The record is from Rfam by way of RNAcentral.